Molecule: long non-coding RNA, 166 nt
Organism: Penaeus monodon (black tiger shrimp)
Lineage: Eukaryota; Metazoa; Arthropoda; Malacostraca; Decapoda; Penaeidae
Exons: 3
Source: RefSeq, a predicted model, not a curated record
CUCUAACGAUUGCAGGAAGCGACGGAAGCCCACGCACCAUCACGAGGACAGCUGCCGGCGGCCUCGACUUCGCCAGGAAUGGUGCCACGCCUGCCUAAGGAUCUCAUCUUGACCUAGCACUGUCUGCUCCUCAUAGACCAAUGAGCGUGAAGUAUGUGGCUUCGCG